CAGGUAAACUGUGUAAUUAGUUUUUAUUUUCGUCUAUAUUUAAUGUUUCAUGCAUGUGCCGCAAGAUUCGAUGUGACGGGGAAUCUUCAAAAUUUUUGAGAACUAAACAAGGCCUAAGCGUGCUGACAGGAGAGAGAGGAAAAGUGCGGAGGGACACAUAGGUUGAGAGAGGGAUAGGGGCUGCUGGAUUUGGAGACUUGAAAUUAUAAUUUAAGAGGACAUAGA
RNAcentral lists this long non-coding RNA (225 nucleotides) under Sorghum bicolor (sorghum). RNAcentral describes it as "long non-coding RNA (SBIC_LNC007419)". The record is from RNAcentral. Lineage: Eukaryota; Viridiplantae; Streptophyta; Magnoliopsida; Poales; Poaceae.